CACACUGCGAGGUCACAGGCGCCUGCGCCAGCCACCCAGCCACGCAGGGAAAGGAACGAUCACCAACAGGGUGCAAUCAAUGACACCCGGGUCAGCAGCAAGCCGCUAAGAACACAGUGUGCCAUUUGUUCUGUCUGUGAGGCUGAGAUGCUGACAGUUCCAACCAACCUCUGCCUCCUCAUUCUUACUUCCUCUCUAAACCCUCUCUGGACCUGAGGAAGAGGGGGCCCUGGGAAGAGCCCCGGCUCACACAUCUGGGUGUUGCAGCCAGCAGAGAGCCCACGCCAUCAAGAGGACAUACUCACAAGCAACCACACAGCAAGACCUGCAGCGGAGCGUGCAGCACUUUCACCUUCUGCUCACAGAAAAGGAAAAAAAAAAAAACAGAGAAAGCAGCCCAUGAGGGACUCAGAAGGGCAGAGCGCACCCUAUGCCUACCCUACCAGAAGAAGCUAGAGGCUGGGACCUGCCGCCCCGAGGAGAAAGGUGUUCUCCUGGCUCUCUGCAGACAAGAUGACCUGAUAGAAAUCGGAAGAACAUGUGUGGGUCCCCUGGGCUGUCAGCACUCACAGAGAGCUUGAGAAGAUAUGGUACCUCUCACUUGAAAGCUGAAGUGACCAAGGCCUCGACUAGAUGCCCUGGAUGAGUUCCCUAAACAACAGAAGUUUCUAGACAUUAGGAAGUAGGUGCAAGGAAGCUGCCUGGCAGGUGACACCAGCUCCAAGGACUGAUGCAGGGGGAAGCCCCCUCCUGCAGCCUGGCCCUUCGCUCUACCUUCUUCAUCCCAGUGGAUGGUAUCUCAGAAGUGAUCCUGAGCAGAGGCCAAGAAAGCCAGCCCUGGAUCCACACUGCUUCAGCGGACUCCCAAAGCUGUAGGUUUAUGUUUAGGUUUAUUGAGAAUGGUCCUUAACUCUUCUAAACCUCAGUUUUCCUCAUGUGGAGAAUGGGGAUAAUUCUGACACCUACUUCAUGGAACCUAAUGAGAAUUAAAUGUGCUAACGGCCAAGUUCUGAGA
This is a long non-coding RNA of Mastomys coucha (southern multimammate mouse), 1015 nucleotides long. RefSeq lists it as uncharacterized. The transcript is spliced from 3 exons. Lineage: Eukaryota; Metazoa; Chordata; Mammalia; Rodentia; Muridae. The record is from RefSeq and is a predicted model, not a curated record.